GUAGGAGCCGGCUUGCUGGCGAUUCAUGCAACGCGGUGUGUCUGAAGUACCGCGUCGUAUUAAUCGCCAGCAAGCCGGCUCCUAC
RNAcentral lists this unclassified non-coding RNA (85 nucleotides) under Pseudomonas reinekei. The record is from RNAcentral. Lineage: Bacteria; Pseudomonadati; Pseudomonadota; Gammaproteobacteria; Pseudomonadales; Pseudomonadaceae.